CUAUUGGAUCUUUUGGUCUCUGUUAAUGCUUAUAAGAAAUUAACAGUAAAAAUCAUGCAUAUAUAUUCAAAGGAUUUGUCAGAGUUUCUGUUGUAGAUAUUUUUUAGGUGCUUUUGUAGGAUUGGCAAAGAAAAGGACAACAUGGAGGCAUGAUGGCUGCCAGAUUCGUAUUAGAUUUCAAGAAGUUAAAGGAUAACACUUUUGAUGAAAUUUUGACAUUGAAGUUUUGUAAGAGCAUUGUGGUGGUGCUUGGAGGAGGGUGCAAUCCCUCUUUCUUUUGAUCACAUAUGUUUUGUGCUUUAUGAUUAAGGAUCAUCACUCUUUUUUUUUUUUUUUUUUUUGUUAUUAAGUAUAUAAUGUCCAAAUUGUGUGUUUAUUCAUUUGAGGAAACAGAUAGCUGUAACUUUUGAAUUAUUUAUUUUCAUUUUGGAAAUGUUCAUAUGGGGUUGUCCAUAUAUUGUUCUAAUUAAUUUAGAAAAAUCUUUUAUGAAGUUGUAAAAUUUUGUAUUUGACAAUGUUUGAAGAAAUAUAAAGUUUUGUCAAA
Long non-coding RNA from Cucumis melo (muskmelon), 544 nucleotides. RefSeq lists it as uncharacterized. NCBI's taxonomy places the organism in Eukaryota, Viridiplantae, Streptophyta, Magnoliopsida, Cucurbitales, Cucurbitaceae. The record is from RefSeq and is a predicted model, not a curated record. The transcript is spliced from 2 exons.